GAUUUCGGGGUGAGAUGAGCCCGGUCCACCGCAGUUCGGUGAGUACCGGCUCGUCCACCUCCUCCCUCCGGUGCCCCGUCCUUUCCCGUUGACUCGGGUUAAGGGCGUUGAGGGAAGAAGGGGGGGCAACUUCUCUUCUUUCCGGGGCCCGGACCUUUUACCUUGAGGAAAUUAGAGUGUUCAAAGCGGGCGCGAAAAAUCUCGCCGUUGAAUACGUCAGCAUGGGAUAAUGGAAUAGGACCCCGUUCCUGUUUCCGUUGGUUUACAAAUUGGGAAUGGGGUAAUGAUUGAUAGGGAUAGUUGGGGGCAUCGAUAUUUAAUUGUCAGAGGUGAAAUUCUUGGAUUUAUGAAAGAUCGACUUCCGCGAAAGCAUUUGCCAAGGAUGUUUUCAUUAAUCAAGAACGAAAGUUAGGGGAUCGAAGACGAUCAGAUACCGUCGUAGUCUUAACCAUAAACCGUGCCGACCAGCGAUCGGGAGACGUCGCAUGGAUGACUCCCCCGGCAGCUUGUGAGAAAUCACAAGUCUUUGGGUUCCGGGG
RNAcentral lists this ribosomal RNA (539 nucleotides) under Protacanthamoeba sp. VD-2014. RNAcentral's name for it is "bacterial SSU rRNA". It matches the Rfam family "Eukaryotic small subunit ribosomal RNA", at positions 637 to 1119 of the family's 1831-position model. Lineage: Eukaryota; Discosea; Longamoebia; Acanthamoebidae. The record is from RNAcentral.